GUGGCAAGCGUUAUCCGGAAUUAUUGGGCGUAAAGCGCGCGUAGGCGGUUUUUUAAGUCUGAUGUGAAAGCCCACGGCUCAACCGUGGAGGGUCAUUGGAAACUGGAAAACUUGAGUGCAGAAGAGGAAAGUGGAAUUCCAUGUGUAGCGGUGAAAUGCGCAGAGAUAUGGAGGAACACCAGUGGCGAAGGCGACUUUCUGGUCUGUAACUGACGCUGAUGUGCGAAAGCGUGGGGAUCAAACAG
Molecule: ribosomal RNA, 245 nt
Filed under: Staphylococcus epidermidis
Lineage: Bacteria; Bacillati; Bacillota; Bacilli; Caryophanales; Staphylococcaceae
Description: partial 16S ribosomal RNA
Rfam family: Bacterial small subunit ribosomal RNA
Source: RNAcentral